Long non-coding RNA from Eupeodes corollae, 643 nucleotides. RefSeq lists it as uncharacterized. The record is from RefSeq and is a predicted model, not a curated record. NCBI's taxonomy places the organism in Eukaryota, Metazoa, Arthropoda, Insecta, Diptera, Syrphidae. The transcript has 2 exons.
UUUAGUAAUUAACUCUUAAUUCGGUCAACAUUGCCCGUGACGUGCUGGCCAGAAUUUCUUAAACUAUCAAUGUAUGCGAUUUAAUGUCAUUAGUUAUGUCAAUUAUUAUCAAUUGUUACCUUUUUUGUACAUUAACUUUAUUUUACUCUGAAGUUAAAAAAAGAAACACAGAAAAAUCAUAGCAAAAUAAUUGAUUAUAUUUUGCAAAGUUUCCAAUGUUUAAAACGUAAAGAAUUAAUUUUCUAUAGAAAACAUUAAUAUAUACGAACAUGUGGCAACCCUAGUAUUUUAAAAAAACUAAUUAUAAGCAACUAUUUAUAAGACCACGUAACUGAAAUUAAUGAAGCAGAUAAAUAAAGAGCUUUUGUGAAGCAGGGAAGCGUAGAAUACACCUGACAAAGCUAAUAUUUUCCUGUUCCAGAAUGGAUCAACUAAUAUUUCUAACAGUUUUCUUUAUUGGAAUGCUUUUCUAUUUGACAGAAGCUGGGAAACAUGAUCCACCUCCUUUUUGGAUUCCCGAUCGCAGAUUCGGGUAAGAUCACAAAAUCAAAACUUUAGAACUGAGUGAGCCAAGGAAAUGACAUAUUGACAUGUCUUUAAAUGCAAAUAUAUAAAAUAUUAUUAAUAAAAGAAAUUUGAUGUU